This 497-nucleotide ribosomal RNA is filed under the name uncultured bacterium. RNAcentral describes it as "partial 16S ribosomal RNA". It matches the Rfam family "Bacterial small subunit ribosomal RNA", at positions 28 to 507 of the family's 1533-position model. The record is from RNAcentral.
GAUGAACGCUGGCGGCGUGCCUAAUACAUGCGAGUCGAGCGAACAGACGAGGAGCUUGCUCCUCUGACGUUAGCGGCGGACGUGUGAGUAACACGUGUAUAACCUCCCUAUAAGACUGGGAUAACUUCGGGAAACCGGAGCUAAUACCGGAUAAUAUAUUGAACCGCAUGGUUCAAUGGUGAGAGACGGUGUUGCUGUCACUUAUAGAGGGAUCCGCGCCGCAUUAGCUAGUUGGUAAGGUAACGGGUUACCAAGGCGACGAUGCGUAGCCGACCGGAGGGGGGGAUAGGCCACCUGAGAAGGGAGCCGCGGUCCAGACUCCUACGGGAGGCAGCAGAAGGGAAUGUUCCGCAAUGGGCGAAAACCUGACGCAGCAACGCCGCGUGAGUGAUGAAGGUCUUGGGAUCGUAAAACUCUGUUAUUAGGGAAGAACCAAUGUGUAAGUAACUAUGCACGUAUUGACGGUACCUAAUCAGAAAGCAACGGCUAACUACGUG